UGAAUACGAGACGCUAAGGCGUCGAAGUAGUGUAUGUCAUACUUCCAAGAAAAGCUUGCACUGUCAUAGAUAAAAAACGCCUGUACCAUAACCGACACAGGUGGGUAGGUAGAGUAUACUAAGGGGCGCGAGAUAACUCUCUCUAAGGAACUCGGCAAAAUAACUCCGUAACUUCGGGAGAAGGAGUGCCUUAUUCGUAAGGUUGCAAUAACAAGAUCCAAGCAACUGUUUAUCAAAAACACAGGUCUCCGCUAAGUCGUAAGACGAAGUAUGGGGGCUGACGCCUGCCCAGUGCCAGAAGGUUAAAGAAGUUGGUUAGCAAUUGCGAAGCUGAUAACUGAAGCCCUGGUGAACGGCGGCCGUAACAAUAACGGUCCUAAGGUAGCGAAAUUCCUUGUCGGGUAAGUUCCGACCCGCACGAAAGGCGUAAUGAUUUGGAUACUGUCUCGGAGAGGGGCUCGGUGAAAUAGACUUGUCUGUGAAGAUGCGGACUACCUGCACCAGGACAGAAAGACCCUAUGAAGCUUUACUGUAACUUGAAAUUGAAAUUGGACUUUAUUCGCGCAGUAUAGGUGGGAGGCGUUGAUUAUAAUCUUGUGGGAUUAUUGGAGCCAUCAGUGAGAUACCACUCUUGUAAUGUUAGAUUUCUAACUUUGAAUCAUUAUCUGGUCAAAGAACAGUUUCAGGCGGGCAGUUUGACUGGGGCGGUCGCCUCCUAAACGGUAACGGAGGCGUACAAAGGUUUCCUCUGAACGGUUAGAAAUCGUAUCUAGAGUGUAAAGGCAUAAGGAAGCUUGACUGUGAGACCUACAAGUCGAGCAGGGACGAAAGUCGGUCUUAGUGAUCUGACGGUACUGAGUGGAAAGGCCGUCACUCAACGGAUAAAAGUUACUCUAGGAUAACAGGCUGAUCUCCCCCAAGAGUUCACAUCGACGGGGAGGUUUGGCACCUCGAUGUCGGCUCAUCGCAUCCUGGGGCGGUAGUACGUCCCAAGGGUUGGGCUGUUCGCCCAUGAAAGCGGUACGCGAGCUGGGUUCAGAACGUCGUGAGACAGUUCGGUCCAUAUCCGGUGUAGGCGUUAGAAUAUUGAGAGGAGCCUUCUUUAGUACGAGAGGACCGAGAAGGACAUACCUCUGGUGUACCAGUUAUCGUGCCAACGGUAAACGCUGGGUAGCUAUGUAUGGAGUGGAUAACCGCUGAAAGCAUCUAAGUGGGAAGCCCACCUCAAGAUAAGUAUUCAC
Molecule: ribosomal RNA, 1241 nt
Filed under: metagenome
Description: bacterial LSU rRNA
Rfam family: Bacterial large subunit ribosomal RNA
Source: RNAcentral